AUUCCUGUAUGAGGAUAUCUUCCUGUAAAUCUUCUUCGUUUAUAAAUUAGAUGCACCAUGUAUUCAAGCAUGGCAUCAGUUAAGCUGUCAUGCACUGAGAACUUUGCUGGCCCAGUUCUGAUACAAGUGUCCAAACAGGAGAGCAGGGGGAAGCAGACAGCCAGACCACAUCGAUCCGGGCUGCAGGAUGUGUUUAGUGAAAAAUCUAUAGAGCUCAGCUUAGGGUGUCAGCUGUCAGUCUGCAGAGCAUCUGUCAGAGGAGUAUUUGCUUCACUGCUGCUGAAUAACCCACUAUGCUAGUAUGAGACUAUAAUGUUGACUGGAAAGAUGAACAGUACCUCAAAGGUCAAGAGCUGUAGGCUGAAAUACAGCUAAUGAUUUCUCAAGGAUAAUUUGCAGAAAGAUUUGAAGAGAACAUGCUGGAAGGUUGAAAAGAGGAAUUUUAAUGGUGCCUUAUAAAUUCUUCUUCAGCCAAAACUGGCUCCAGGUGAGCUUAAGAUGAAGCUUUCUACACAUUUCCCAACAUAAUGUCUUACUUCCUUAAUGUUAUACCUGACCUUAGAAAUGUUCGUUUUCUUUUCUGUGUUCUUACUGAAAAGCUUAUAACAUAUUAUUCUGUAAACAAAUACACCAGUUUUUUGGCAAUUGUGUUUCCCAGUCCUUUAGGGAAACUUGAGGACCUAGUAAUUAUCCCUCUGUAUUGCUUGUCAUGACUGUAUAGUAUGUAGUGCAAUAAAAUAUAGACAGGUUUUUAAAUCCACCUUCUUACAUCUUAGAAAAAAAGUCAUGAAUGAAAAGAUUUCUUCUAUGUCAUCUUUCAGUAACAGAAAAACAUAUCUGGUUAAUAAAUGUUGCUGCUGUAACAAGGACAAGGUCUAGAACUU
This is a long non-coding RNA of Neopelma chrysocephalum (saffron-crested tyrant-manakin), 884 nucleotides long. RefSeq lists it as uncharacterized. The transcript has 4 exons. Lineage: Eukaryota; Metazoa; Chordata; Aves; Passeriformes; Pipridae. The record is from RefSeq and is a predicted model, not a curated record.